This 304-nucleotide ribosomal RNA is filed under the name uncultured bacterium. RNAcentral describes it as "partial 16S ribosomal RNA". It matches the Rfam family "Bacterial small subunit ribosomal RNA", at positions 506 to 807 of the family's 1533-position model. The record is from RNAcentral.
CAGCAGUCGCCACGGUAAAACGAAGGGUGCAAGCGUUACUCGGAAUUACUGGGCGUAAAGCGUGCGUAGGUGGUGGUUUAAGCCCGUUGUGAAAGCCCUGGGCUCAACCUGGGAAUUGCAGUGGAUACUGGAUCACUAGAGUGUGGUAGAGGAUAGUGGAAUUUCCGGUGUAGCAGUGAAAUGCGUAGAGAUCGGAAGGAACAUCUGUGGCGAAGACGACUAUCUGGGCCAACACUGACACUGAGGCACGAAAGCGUGGGGAGCAAACAGGAUUAGAUACCCCAGUAGUCCCUGUCUCUUAUAC